Lonchura striata (white-rumped munia) is the source of this 297-nucleotide non-coding RNA. NCBI's taxonomy places the organism in Eukaryota, Metazoa, Chordata, Aves, Passeriformes, Estrildidae. The record is from RefSeq and is a predicted model, not a curated record.
UUCCUUCUUUUUCUGUAGUAUAUUGCUGAAAGCUGAUGCUGUCCAUCCCUCUAGCAGCAAGGAGCUUGGUAGGAGAAAGAGUAACUUCCCCAAAGUGCACUGUUGCAGAUGAAUCCAUAAAGCUUCUUAAUAGGUAAGUAAAAGCUUUCCAGUUUCAAGGAGAGCCAAAUGCAGCAAUGAACAUGAUGAUGAUGAAUCUCACCAAGUGGCUUUUUGCUGACUAGCAACAGACACAUAAAUACACAUAAGAGCAUAUUUGCAGGAUCAGGAAAAUUGUUUUUACCAUAUCUCAUAAGC